UACAGAGGGGGCAAGCGUUAUUCGGAAUUAUUGGGCGUAAAGGGCGCGUAGGCGGUUUGGCAAGUGGAAGGUGAAAUCCCUCGGCUCAACUGAGGAACUGCCUUCCAAACUGCUUUGCUUGAGUCCGGGAGAGGUCAGUGGAAUUCCCAGUGUAGCGGUGAAAUGCGUAGAUAUUGGGAGGAACACCAGUGGCGAAGGCGACUGACUGGACCGGUACUGACGCUGAGGCGCGAAAGCGUGGGGAGCAAACGGG
RNAcentral lists this ribosomal RNA (253 nucleotides) under uncultured bacterium. Its description in RNAcentral is "partial 16S ribosomal RNA". It matches the Rfam family "Bacterial small subunit ribosomal RNA", at positions 524 to 776 of the family's 1533-position model. The record is from RNAcentral.